UGGGGAAUCUUGGACAAUGGGCGAAAGCCUGAUCCAGCGACGCCGCGUGGGUGACGAAGGCCUUCGGGUUGUAAAGCCCUUUUGCCGGGGACGAUGAUGACGGUACCCGGAGAAGAAGCACCGGCUAACUCCGUGCCAGCAGCCGCGGUAAGACGGAGGGUGCUAGCGUUGUUCGGAAUUACUGGGCGUAAAGGGCGCGUAGGCGGCUACGGCAGUCGGGUGUGAAAGCCCGGGGCUCAACCCCGGAACUGCAUCCGAUACUCUGUGGCUAGAGACCGGAAGAGGUGGGUGGAAUACCCAGUGUAGAGGUGAAAUUCGUAGAUAUUGGGUGGAACACCGGUGGCGAAAGCGGCUCACUGGUCCGGUUCUGACGCUGAGGCGCGAAAGCGUGGGGAGCAAACAG
RNAcentral lists this ribosomal RNA (403 nucleotides) under uncultured bacterium. RNAcentral describes it as "bacterial SSU rRNA". It matches the Rfam family "Bacterial small subunit ribosomal RNA", at positions 355 to 775 of the family's 1533-position model. The record is from RNAcentral.